AGUCCAUGAAAAGGGAAUAGUCUUAACAAAUACUUAUAACGCUCCCACGUGUCAAACACUGAUUCUCCAUCUUCUUGUCUAAAACUAUUAAUCUCAUUCCUAACUUU
Molecule: small nucleolar RNA, 107 nt
Organism: Lathyrus oleraceus (garden pea)
Lineage: Eukaryota; Viridiplantae; Streptophyta; Magnoliopsida; Fabales; Fabaceae
Source: RefSeq, a predicted model, not a curated record